RNAcentral lists this long non-coding RNA (23483 nucleotides) under Triticum aestivum (bread wheat). RNAcentral's name for it is "long non-coding RNA (TAES_LNC025868)". The record is from RNAcentral. Lineage: Eukaryota; Viridiplantae; Streptophyta; Magnoliopsida; Poales; Poaceae.
CCGGAGUAUUUAUCGACCCCCAGGCAAGCCAACCUCUUAUCAUGAGCCCCGAACUUGCAUGUUGACUUUGCUUGCACCUUGUGCGUGUGUAGUUGCAGUUGUUUCAUAAAGUUUUCAUCUGCAGUUAUUCCGUUAUGCUGUCUUGCAUGCUUGUGUUUUCAUGAUAUCUUUUGCCAUGCUAAUUAGAAUGUUAUUAUUAAUAAUGCCAUGUUACUACUCUACUUUACUUACAUGUCAUCAUUAUAAAAUGAUAUGAGGAUUGUAAUGCACCGUUGAUAUGCUAUUGUCAUGUUCUUUAUGUUAUAGUUGUGCACUUGAGGAGUUCGAUAUUUUCCCAUGCAUUUGUAUGCUGCAUGCUCAUUGUUGCAUCCAUGUUAAAUAUGUUCAUGAUGAUGGAGAAGGAAAUAAAAUGACUUAAUAAUAACAAACCUCCUCCGUCAUUGAUGGGAUCGAGUCAUAGUGCCGCCAAAUCGAACUUUUUCAGUGCAACCACAUUUGCCUUUGUGGGAAGGCCUUAAUGCGAGCUAUUGUCGUGACCUCUCGUCGGUGCCUCCAACUAGGGAAGGUUAUGGGCAUGCUUACACUAAUCAGGUAGGUAGACAUAACUUUGUGUGCUCGUUGAUGAGAUUAUGGUACCGAGUCCCCGAGUGGGAGUGUCCCCGAGUGGGAGUGUUUUGACCACGACGGUGGUCGGGGUGUCUUUGGUAGACACGGGGCCACCCAGGACCAGCCCAUUGGGGAUUUGGGUCGGAGUGGCCGGGAGAGUGUCAUGGUAGUAGAUCGGUUUCGUCGGAAUGCCAUUGGUCCACCCGAAUGAGAUGACAAGGCUAUGGGUUCCGUGGUGUGGGUACAGUGUGCUACCUCUGCAGAGUGUAUAAAGUCUAUCGAUAGCAACAGUUCGUAGUAGGUCCCACUAUCAGGUCUUGGUCAAAAUGGAGGAUAAACCGAAGUAAUUAAGUUGACAAAUAAAUAUGUGAUAACAAAAAUAUGGUGACUUGGACUAUGAUAUAGUCGUGAGAAGUCACAGUGAUGUUUUGGUGGUGAUCACCGAAAGGAUCACGGUUUGAGGCCAAGUUUUGGUCGUGGUGGUGAUCGCCGUAAGGAUCACGAGUUACUCUGGUCAAGACCACGAUGGUGGUUUGGUGGUGAUCGCCGUAAGGAUCACGAGUUAUUCUGGUCAUGGUUGUGAUCACCGGAAAGAUCAUUGUUCGGUUGCGAGGCAACCCGAUGAUAAGAGAGUCCGAGGGACUCGGUGUACAAGUUUGCGUACAUUGCAUGAGUAAUAUAUCAUUAUUUGCAUUUAAAGAACCAUGAUAGAACAGAAGGUGAUUGCAUAAAGUUAAUAUGCUAUGUCUGCAUUGGAUAUUAUUGGUAGUUUACUUUCAACAUAGCUUCAUGAUGCCUUUAUGCCAUGUUAGAAGCAUGUUUGGAUAUGCCAUGUUAUUGCCAUGUUAGCAGAUGCUAUGAUUUUGUUCAUGAUUAGUUGAUUUUUAUCAUGCCAUGUUUAGUAAUUGAUAUGAGAUAGGUUGUUCCAUGCGCUCAUUUCUUGCUAGUCUUCUGCUUGUUUGGAUGCUAUGUAUUUGGUUGUCUUGCAAGUACAUUCAAAGUACUGACCUGGCGUGUCAUGCCAGUUUUGUAGGUCAUACCCGUAUUGUUCGCUUGAUCCGUCGUGCUAGGCCGUAACCUUGCCAGUCCUGUGAGUUGUGGAGCCUAGCCAGAGUUGUUAUGCUGCCAAACCAAGACUUCCGCUGCCAUUAAAUCAGACUUCCGCUGUCAUUUAAUAGCCUUAGGGCUAGGCCAGAUAAUUGUAUUCAUCAAUGAUGUAAUCUCAUAUACAUGUAUUUGAUGAAUAUUCUUGUACCUGGAAUGCUGUAUUAUGGACCUGUCGUCCGUCAGGUGUUAUCCUGGGCUAACGUGCGAAGGCCCCCUGCUCCAUGCAGAUCGGGGUGCCACAGGGCAUGGUAUCAGAGCAGCCAGGCUGGCAUAGGUUAUCCUAGCAUUAGAUCACUGCUUCCAUUAAACCGUAAUUACCCUAAGGGAUUUGACUCAUCCCUGCUGUCGGUGUCAAAAUCGGCGGAUCUCGGGUAGGGGGUCCCGAACUAUGCGUCUAGGCCGGAUGGUAACAGGAGGCAAGGAACACGAUGUUUUACCCAGGUUCGGGCCCUCUUGAUGGAGGUAAAACCCUACGUCCUGCUUGAUUAAUAUUGAUGAUAUGGGUAGUACAAGAGUAGAUCUACCACGAGAUCAAGGAGGCUAAACCCUAGAAGCUAGCCUAUGGUAUGAUUGUUGUAUAUGGAGUUGUGUAUUCUAUCAACUAGCCUGGCCCUGGUUUAUAUAAUGCACCAGAGGCCUAGGUUAACAAGAGUCCUAGCCGAAUACGCCGGUGGGGAGAAGUCCUUGUCUUGAUCGCCAAGUGUUGUGGAAUCUUCCUUGUAUGCGGCAGUUGUCCCAACUGGCCCAUGAGUAUACGGCCACGGGGGUCCUUGGCCCAAUCUAUCAGAUCGGGAGAUGACGUGUUGAGUACCCCCUAGUCCAGGACACUGUCAGUAGCCCCCUGAACCGGUCUUCAAGUUAGGGACGCUCCUUGAUUCUUCCGAGCUGUUUUGCAUCUUCGGUCGUCGGUCUUGAAAACUGGUUCAACAAAUCUUUUUUAUCUUCGAUCUUGAGGAUCGCCGAAAUGCAUUCGACGGGUUUACACGUCGGGUAUCCGAGGAGCCCCUUUAAGUUUCCGGCCUUUAUCAAUGCCUUAUUAUUUUUAUGCCACACCUCGGGUUUGAAGUAGUUCCCGGGAGGCAGUGUCCUCUUGCGUCUGAGCUCUAACGCCGGACUGUAUUCGAGGUAUCUUUUGCAGCCGAGCACCAAUGCCGGACCGCUUCCCAGCUCUAACGCCGGAAUGUAUCCGAGCUCCAACACCGGACUAUGUAUCCGAGCUCCAACGCCGGACUAUAUCCGAGGUUUCAUAUCACCUUGGUUCAAAAAAGUUGAAGGAGUUUAGCCGAGCUUAAUGCCGGAAAUGCCCUCUACGGAGACAGCCACUAGCGCCCGAUCUUUAUGCCGGACUGCUUCCGAGGUGGUGCACCACCCCGAAUGUGGGCCGAUUUUUGUGAAUAUUUUUUGUUGGUGCAAUUUAUUCUCUGCCGAGAUAUAUAGCCAGUAGCCCUCAAGGUGUGUAUCGGUCUAAAACCCGAGAUGCACCUGAAGGAUGACGUAAGACCGCUGAUCCUAGUAGCCGCUGAGACUCAGGUUGAUUUGCAAAAUCGGCCUGAGGAUCAAGUCCAAGCUCGGCAGAAUACUUCGGGACACUAAAAGCGGCGUGCUCAGUCCUCGAGACUCAGGUUGGGUGCGGCCGACCAACCUGAGGAUCAAAAUCUCCUCGGAAACUAUAUUGCACAUACAAUUUUCUGCAUUGGACAAGCAAUGCAGUAGCCCCCGAGACACUGGUCGGGUGGCAACACCAGAUCAGGGGAUCGAUGUGCCCCUUUAAUAUUGUAAACAAUAAGCCCGAAGCCCAGUAGCCCCCGAGCCUUAAUGCGGGCACGGGUGGCCGAAUUAAGGAUCAAUAUCCAUAGUAAAAUCACAAAUUAUGUGUAAUGACUCUAUGUAUCCAAGUACUUUACGUUAUUAAUGCUCGGAUCCGCAUUGUACAAAACUUUGUUAACUGACCAUCGGCUUCCACCUCCUCGGCCAGUAGCCGAGGAGUGUUUGUCCUACUUUAUAAAGCCUUUAUGAGGGCAAAGAUUUACAACAAACAAGGCAAUCUGGCCAUACGGUUUUAUAAACAAAGGUACGCAGAGAGUUAUAUUACUGUUUAACAGAAGAAAUGUCUUCCAAAGAAAAUAGUCCCGCUAUCGGUUCCUUUCUUUGGGUUGUCAUGCUAAGCAUGAUCAUUAAACCUCGGCUCUAAUGUAAGAGCAAAAUAUUGAGGAUUUAGUUUGGGAGGCCAGUUAAUAGCCCCCGGUAGUGUUCGGCGACAGUCGGGGUCAAGCCGUAAACACUUCGGCCAAUGUUAUGAACGGCCCAUCAUUUAACAUAGUCAUCGGUUCGCUGACCAGUUUACGCUUAUUGUGAAAGUCAGUUUUCGGCUUUCUCCACUGAGGUGCUUAACCAUGUGAGCUGGAAGCACAAUCGCAGUGGUUCUCCCUUUGCACGCCUAGCCGAAAAAACGGAACGUAGGAAGCAAGUGCAGGAGCCGGGCAACCCAACUAUUGACCGAAGACACAAUUUGAAACCGAUGCAUAUAUAGCAAUAUCUGAGAAUGUUUUUGCCGAAUCCCUAAAGGUGUCCGGCGUUGCACUGCGAGACUAAUGCUGGAAAAGCACAAAUAGUUUAAAAGUGCCAAAAAGCUUGGAAAACCAAGAAACGUCAGUAAAAACAUGACGCCCGAACAAUAUCAAGUGUUCGGUGCCAAUCCGAAAGUUGGUCUUAGAAAAAAGAAGUGCUUCUGUCGUGCUUUAACAUGAUACAUCCUAUCUCAAGACUUCGAGCGGGUCAGCCUACGGCUUCAACCUCCUAUCCCGAGGGCGGAGUACUUCUCAUCAGGCCAGUUUAGCAAACUAAACUCUAGCGGCUUUGAGAGAGAAAUUAGGCUCCCCGGCUAGUGACCGCACACUCGUGUCGAAAAAAGGAGUGAUAAAUAAUAAUAAAACUUUGCAACGACUAAGAAGAAGAACACUUAUUAUAAAAUGGCUCAAAUAAACUUAAGAGCCCCCAAGUGACUUGGGUAGUAGAAUGAUUGCAUGUACUGAAGCACUUAUAUCAUAUCUAUGUUCAACCGAACUUUAAACGCGUCUUAACCGACCGUCAACUUCUCCCUCUUCGGCCAAGGACCGAAAAGUGUUAUGUACUCCAUCGGUCGAGAAUAUCGACGGUGUUUCCAAUAACCAGGCAAUCAAGCCAUAAGGCUGUAACAGACAAAGCGCGCUCAGGGAACUUAUGCUAUAUUACCGUGAAGUGUAAGAAGCAUCUUCAAAGAAAAUAGUACCCCCACCGAUACCUUUCUUCGGUGCUCAUUGUUAUUAUGAGACUUGUGCAAUAGAUUUUUUGUACUCAUGAGUUCCGUUGUGUGUCGACCAUCAUUGAAAACUAUAAGAGCGCUACCUUUCGGCUUCACCCAGUCUGAGGUCCGGCUCGGCUGACCCGAUCAUGACAAUCGCAGAGGUGCUCCCUUUACUCCCUAGCCAAACAAUCGGGAACGUAGGGGUAAACACAGGAGUGAGGCAACCCAGCUUGCAAAUCACUUAAGUCAAUAUGGUGCAUAUUGUGGCGUAAUACACGAACAAGGAACCAAGCCGUACAAGUAUAAUCAUAUGCAACAGGAAAAAGCUUCAUAAAGGAAGCCCCCAAGUAAACGGGGUAUUUGAAUUUAUGCGUCACAAACAAAGUUUGGACAAGGAAUUUUUUUACAAGCAACUUUUUUCCAAAAAAGUAUAAUGCUUGGUCGAACCGAGCACAAGUUAGAAAUUAAAGCUUUGAGCAUGAAAGUGACUUAGCUGGUUAAUGUGUUCGGUAUUGAUGACGCGGUCCGAGCUUGAUGCGGGGCAAGGUUCCAUCCCCCAAGCCGGUCCCGAGUUGGCGGAGCGGAGAGCUCGACACGCCGAAGUGGUGACAUAGCACGGUCAAUGCAGACCGGCAGAGUGACGCCGAAGUCCCCGGAUCAUUUUCCUGUGCACAAAAAAUAGUGCAAACCGGAGAUAACAGUAAUAAUGAUAAUUAAAAAAAAGUUGCAUAAUAAAUAAUUUAUGCAAAGUGAGGAAUAGAAGAAAUAUGGCCUGGCGCCAAAGUCAAUGUCGAUGCAGGGCGUCGACGUGAUGUAGUAGAGGCAUGGCAAAGCCUGAAUUCACAGGUCGGUCCGAGCUCCGGGUGCGACGUUCGCCGGACUAUGUACGGAAACUGAUCGAACCACCACACGACCGUCGUUAGUGUGGUCACCAUUUGAUAGACCUGUGUACAUAUCAUGGAUAAACCAGAGUAAUAAUUCCUUGGGAAAAAUGAACCCAAACAAGCAAAAAAUACUGGGAUUAAUAGCACCUGGUUUAUUUGUUGUAGCAAUCCGAAGGAAGGUGAUUCCCAAAAUUGGGACUCGCUCCGCACACCCAUUGCCUGAUGGGCGAUAAAACGAUGGCAUGGCAAUGCUGGUAAAGGUUGACUCGCCGAGGCAAAGCCCUCGGCCCAGCUAACGUGAUGGAGCUGGUCGGCUAGUGACGCCGAAGCGUCCGGAGUAGGUUGAUGAAGAGAUGGCGAAGCCCCCGGUCCAGCCGAGAUGUCGAAGCCUCGACGUCAGUCGAUGAGUCGAAGUAGGUCGGCGUGAUGGACACCAGCUUGAAGAAGCAAUAGUGCGGCCCUGUCGAUGCAGGUCGUGACGUGGUCGAUGCCGGCUUGAUGAAGCAACCGUGCGGCGAUGCCGGUAUGCCCGCUCCGUGUAAUCCGUGGGGCGGCGAUAUUGAUGAUGAUUUAUCCUUUGCGAUGCCGGACUCUUGUUCGGCUUGCCGAGAUGAUGAUCCGAAGAAGUUGAGCUCGGCUAAAGUGACGACGUGUCUAGCGCAGGUCGGCAGCCGUGGAGUAAUAUUGCCGGACUGGUUUGACACCAGCAUGAUGUUGAAGAUCAUGUUCAAAAGAUUUUAAAGUUAGUGGGAUGUGUUCGAGAACAAAACACAAUACCCCAUACAAAACUACCUUCAAAAGGGAUGUCCGAAAUCCCGUUCAUAAAAAAGAUGAACUCGGGUCGGAUUCGUUUUCGUGCAGAAAACAGAUCUGAAAAGUGAUGCACUAAUCGGAAGGUUCUCGGAGUUUGUACGGUCGGAUCGAGCUGAAAUUUUGAGAGGUGGUAGAUAUAGGAAUUCCGCAGCCGAUCAACGGUUGGAUGUUCCAAAGGACGUCCGAGGUAGAAUCUGGAUACCACGCCCUAAACUCAUCCAAAUUCCCAUCCAGAUUUGACAGGGCUCCGGUAUAUCGUGGAUUGCCAGAGAUUCCUCCACCGGAACUCGACGAAAUUUUCCAGGGUUGUUAUAGACUCAAUUCCGCACAAUUCCACCAAGGCGAUCGUCAAAGCGAUACUCGAGGAGGUGGUGGCGGCAGAUACGAGUUCGCUGUCCAAAAAAACAGCACGGUCGCUUGAGGGCAAUGUUGACAUUGAGCCCCCGAGCUCCAUAGAUAAUUCCUCCGUGAUCUUGAUAGAGAUCGGAGUUGAUGUUUGAUGAAGGCCCUCGUCCGAACAUGGUGAUCCGAACACGGGGCACAAUUCUUGGUCGAACCAAGGUGACCAGUCAAACUGGUGAUGAGGAUGCCGAAGUCGCAGUUGAUCUGCAAGCGAGCCAUCGAUUCUUUUCUCGAUCACACAGCGGAACUCUCAAUGAAAGCAUCAAUGUCGGUGUCAAAACCGGCGGAUCUCGUGUAGGGGGUCCCGAACUGUGCGUCUAGGCUGGAUGGUAACAGGAGGCAAGGAACACGAUGUUUUACUCAGGUUCGGGCCCUCUUGAUGGAGGUAAAACCCUACGUCCUGCUUGAUUAAUAUUGAUGAUAUGGGUAGUACAAGAGUAGAUCUACCACGAGAUCAAGGAGGCUAAACCCUAGAAGCUAGCCUAUGGUAUGAUUGUUGUAUAUGGAGUUGUGUAUUCUAUCGACUAGCCUGGUCCUGGUUUAUAUAAUGCACCAGAGGCCUAGGUUAACAAGAGUCCUAGCCGAAUACGCCGGUGGGGAGAAGUCCUUGUCUUGAUCGCCAAGUCUUGUGGAAUCUUCCUUGUAUGCAGCAGUUGUCCGAACUGGCCCAUGAGUAUACGGCCACGGGGGUCCUCGGCCCAAUCUAUCAGAUCGGGAGAUGACGUGUUGAGUACCCCCUAGUCCAGGACACCGUCACCUUCAUCCGGCAUGGCCACUGUUAAUCCACAGGUGGCGCACUCGGGACUGACACGUCCUCACCCCGCUGUCCCCGCCUAGUUAUCUGUGGAGCAAGUAGCAACCACAUCCUUUCUGGUCUGCCACACCGCUUGCCCUUCGCCAUUAAAGGAAAGGGUCCACACCAUGCGGGCAUGUCCCGCAUAGCUACCUAUAAAAGCCCCCUUUCCGCUAGCCGUAUCGCUCACUUCUCAUUCAGCCAUGUCCCUGCAGAGAAGCCUAGCUAGUAACACUCCAGUCAUGGCUAGCACCCUCAAAACUACUAAGUUCCACAGCCGCACAAGCGCCAUCAACCAUCCUGGUUUCCCACCCCUUCUUGCCGAGAUGCUCACCCAAGCCUUUGGCUAUGAUGCUAGCCCCGACUACCUGGUGUUCCAGUCAACCCUCGUUCCUCACCUUCAUCGCUAUGAUGCAAGGGUGCACAUCAGCCCUGGUCCCGUAGUAGAUGGCCAGCCGUUGGUUUUUCAGGGUAGAGCCAUGCCUACCACCGAUUUGGCCAUCCAGGCCACUGCUGUGGAGGCAAUCCUAUACCUCCGAACCAAGUUCCCGCAAGUGGCAGAUCAAAGGGAGUUCUGUUUCUUCCCCAUUGUUACAGCGACAGGAAUUCAACCAUCCCCCUCUAUCCAAGGGAAUGACCCCGCAAUCGCUCGCCUGGUGCAGUAUAUCACUGCCCAGGGAAUGAUGAUUUCGAGGAUGCUUGCCGAAUUCAGAACCUUGGACAACGAUGUGGUGCGAGUUGUCAAGGAAGCUUACCGUGAGGCUCGUAAGUUCGCAUCUCAAGUGGCUCACCCAACGCUAUCCGAGCCAGUGCUACCCUCUCAGCCGGUGUUGUGGCCUCGGCCAAACAUCAUCACUCUCGACAAGACUCUUUUCUGGAUCCACCAACAUCAUAUGCUUGGAUCAAUUUCAGCCACACCCCUGGUAGCCGAACCCCAACCCAUAGUGAUCUCGGAUGAUGAAGAUGGAGAUUGGCUCAGUCUUCGUCCUCCUGGAGAGCCCCAGCAAAGCAAGCCCUCAGCUUGAUCUUAGCCGCGCAACCAGUUGUUUCUGCUAGUAGGUCAGUCUGUCAGUUCAUUCCCGAUAUGAGGAUAGAACCCUGUAUCCCGAAGUGAGUAGUUUCGUUUAGUGCGUAGAGUGCUCGUGCUUGGUUGUAUGCUUGCACUGUUGUAACUCGUAUGGUGUGUUUAUGCUUGCUUUCUUGCUUUUGGAUUGUUGUCUCUCUGUCAAACAGAGAUGUUUGACAGGGUUGGCAAUGUGAGUUAACAAGAUUUUAGUCAGUAGAGCACAUACACUAAACACAACAUUUACUCGUCCCGAGUCUUUUAAUAAAAUGUGCGCUGGUUUAGGUAUAUAUAUGCCAGGAUUAUAUAUAUAUACCCACUAGCAUUAAAACGCUUUAGAAUGAGUUGUCUGCUGUGUUUUUGGUUGCAUGAUUUUAUCGCUGUCUGUUUGUUAGUGUAGAUUACUGCAUAACACACGCAUACCCGGUUCACCCACGAGUACCUUUGGGCAGUACUCGGGGGGAUGCAAAGUCACAUAUCCCUAUCUAUCUGUGCAUACCCCGUGUGUCAGAUUUUCAAAUCCAGAACCCCGCAGAGGCAUUUCCGCCUGGAAAUUCCUCGUCUCUAAUUCUUUCUUCCAGUUUCAUUUCUGGGGGAAACACUACCCACCUUAUUUCAUUCGAACCAGUACAACUACCCUGAUUUAAACUCCGAUUCUACCUCGACACCUACAUUUCGUGGAGCUAUCCGCAUAAUUUUUCCAUACUCCGUGUGAUUCUUGAGCUGGAGCAACCACCUCACAUGCAUCUGGACCCCACCACCACCACGGCAGCACGCGAUUACUCCGCCGGCGCAAAGCGAUGGAGAAUCAAUUGUGGCGAAGGACCACCCAGUGCGCCAUCUUCUCCCGCGUCUUGAGCCACCGCACCCAGCAGCGCAUUGUUCCGAGCUCGCUCAUUCCUGGUGAGAAUCAGCAGGAGGAGUGACGAGCCGAUCAGCGUGCCCAGCAGCGCUGCAAGGAACAACCGCAGCGCCACCAGGAACACCUCCUCGCCGAAGGAGCUCGGCUCGAUCUCGCCCAAACCAAAGAGGUAGUAGAGCGGCAUUGUGUUUGUGUGUUGGAGGAGAGCCGCGCUGCCGUUUUUAUAGUACAACCCCGGUGUACGGUGAGCGACAUCCAGGAGAACUGCUCGUUGCUCGAUCACUAGCAUCCAGGAGGCAAAUCCGUGAGCAGUGCCGACAAGGUGCUGGCCCACGAAGUGAGUGCUCGCUGCACUGGCGCCGUGCACGCCGCGCACUACGACACUAGGGUCCUCAUCGCCCUAGAAGCUAGAUGCGCGCUGCGCUACAUCGCACGUGGAGCAGCAACGAAGAAGAAGCAGCAAGCUGGAGGUAGAAGAAGGAGGUUGCCAGUGGGCCCUGGGCCCACGUGUCAGUAGGUGAAACCACUGUUCAUUGGGUGCACCUAGCAUUUUUCGGGAGUCUGAUCUCGAGUGCCCCUAGCCGUGGAGGUAACCCUGUUUUGCUCAUAUAUCCCUUCCCGGGUGUACCAAUUAUCGGUGCCCCUAUCUUGCUUGAAUUUAACCAAAGGGUUAAAAUUAACCCAGAGGUUAUUUUUUUAUUUGUGCUGUAACCCUAGCAAUCUCAAGGACGAGAUUCUUUUUAAGGGGGGAAGAGUUGUAACAACCCCAAAAUUGGGUUAUCAAUUUUUGUGCUGUUAUUCUCCCCUGGCACUCAUUUUCAAAAUUUUCUCCUGAGUUUGCUGGAUGACUUUGAGAAAUUUUGUCAUUUUCAAUCUUACAAAAUCUUGCUCAUGUCUUUUUCAGUGGGCAAGACCUCAUUUGCAUCAUCCCAAACCCUCUCAAACCCUAAUUCCAAAAUUUUGGAAUUUGAAUGUGCCCUUUGUGAUUACAAACGAGCUAUCAUUUCCUUUGAUCUGUUGAUCCUCCCAAUUGUUCCCAGAGAUCCUCCUAACUUUCUAAACCUUGGAUAUGCAAAAAUAUUGCUAAGUCCAAUGCAAUAUUUUUGAAUUAUGAUUCCUUUUCUUGCCUUUUUGAGGAAUAAAAUCCAAAGGCAUAGCUAGCCAUCUCCUAAAUUCAUGAGAAUUGGUGGAGUUGAUACUUAUGCCUAAUCCAAGCUGUGACAAGUAUAUUGGCCAUAAUUAAAUAAGGAAAAUUUCCUUUUCCUAUUUAAUGCCAAUAUUGCAUUUCUGCCAUUUUCCAAAGGAACUACUAUUUUUAUAGCAGGGAAAAUUCCCACAUAAAUUGUGGAGCUUGUCCUUGCUAUAUAUUAACUAGUUACAUCCUAAUCUCAUGUUCCUCAGUUCAAAAAUUUGGCACAUGAUCCAAUGCAAGUUUCUGCCUUCUCUUAAAUUUUGCAAAGGAAGUGCUUUAUUCCUAACUCCAAUUGAGCUACAAUUUGGCUAGGUGAUUAACUAUUACAAAUCACCUCUGGAUACCAAAAAUAAGCUCAAUCCAUCUAUCCAAUAUUCCUUGGAAAUUUUUCAAGUUUCUGUUCAGAUUUGCUUGUCUAUGAAGGGAGUACCCUCAUGGAUGAUCAAAAUGAGCUGAAAAUUUUCCAUCAGUCUCUAAUGAUCAUAUUAUCACACUCCUCCAAGAUUCAUCUCAUUCCAUUGAACUAUGUGAGCACAGGAACAAUUCUUUGUUUCUGUCCACAUUUUGAGUUUGUGAAGCAAGUGUAUUUUAUCUUGCUCCAUUAUGGCUGAUAAUUUUCCCAGGCCUUAUCCUACCUAUAUAACCUAUCUCCACAAGAUUUGGGAUCAUUUCUGCUGGCCAAUUUCCCUGAGGAUUUUUCUGAAGUUUUUGGACAGAAAUGAUAGCUAUGAAGGAAGUACCAUUUUGGUGAGUCCAUUUGGUAUGAACUUUUUACAGCAUCAUGGUAUGUUCAAAUCAUCAGGCUUUGCCAAGAUUUAGCCUAAUCCAUCACUCCUAUUGUGUGCUUCAUCAUGAUUCAGUUUCUGGGUCAGUUUUGGUGGUUGUACAACAACUAUGGUAAAUAGUUGUCCAUUUUACGUCAAAACUCCCAGGACUGCAGUCCUUUCUACCCUAAGCCUCCCAGACAUCAAGUUUACCUUUUACCCUCUCUAGUUUACUCUCUAGAGUGUGGUAAAGUUUGUAGCAGUAAACUUGUGGAGCUUGAUUUACUCAGCUCACUUUGUCUCUACCCCUCUCUUUACCAUGGUAAUACCCCACGCUGGAAGGACUACACGGUAGACAUGAUCUUACCUCAGUAAAAAAACCAAAGUGCACCAUGCCAGUGGUGACUAUGAGGGCAGCCAGCCAAAACGGUGGUCUAGCCACUGUUCUCGUCGGCAGCGCUGCUCCGGCCAUCUCUGACCUCGCCAUUAAUGCCCAACAGCUCCCCCUCGACGUCGUCUUCCCUCUGGACCUCUGCCCCCUUCGUUUUCUUCUCCGGCGAGCCGUGCCAACGCUCGAGCAGUGCGUGCCCAUGAGCUCGUCCUCUUCCUCGCCGGUGUCCGCUUCCUCCUCUUGUCCUUGAGUCUUGCCCGACUCCGUGAGCCUCUGCUGCUCGUCCAUUUCCCCCUCGUCACCUUCCCGCUGCUCCCCGCAAGCUUUGGCUGCGCCUGCCGACGCUGCGCCCCAUGCCGGCGGACGGACACAUCGCCUGCCGCGUGCUGAUACAUCUCCGUCGUAUCUACUUUUCCAAACACUUUUGCCCAUGUUUUGGACUCUAACUUGUAUGAUCUUAAUGGAACUAACCCGGACUGACGCUGUUUUCAGCAGAAUUACCAUGAUGUUGUUUUAUUGCAGAAAACAAAUAUUCUCGGAAUGACCUGAAACUCGACGGGAGGUCCUAGAAAAAAUAAUAAAAAAUCCUCGCCAAAUAUGAAGACCAGGAGGCCCACACCCUUCUCACGAGGGGCACGCCCCCUAGGGCGCGCCCCUACCUCGUGGGCCCCCUGUUGACCCUCCGACACCAACUCCUACUCUAUAUAUUUGCUUUCGGAGAGAAAAAAUUAGAGAGAAGAAAUCAUCGCGUUUUACGUUAUGGAGCCGCCGCCAAGCGCUAAAACCUCUUGGGAGGGCUGAUCUGGAGUCCGUUCGGGGCUCCAGAGAGGGGGAUUCGUCGCCGUCGACAUCAUCAACCAUCCUCCAUCACCAAUUUCGUGAUGCUCACCGCCGUGCGUGAAUAAUUCCAUCGUAGGCUUGCUGGGCAGUGAUGGGUUGGAUGAGAUUUAUCAUGUAAUCGAGUUAGUUUUGUUAGGGUUUGAUCCCUAGUAUCCAUUAUGUUCUGAGAUUGAUGUUGCUAUGACUUUGCUAUGCUUAAUGCUUGUCACUAGGGCCCGAGUGCCAUGAUUUCAUAUCUGAACCAAUUAUGUUUUCAUCAAUAUAUGAGUGUUCUUGAUCCUAUCUUGCAAGUCUAUAGUCACCUACUAUGUGCUAUGAUCCGGCAACCCCGAAGUGAGAAUAAUCGGGACCACUCCCGGUGAUGACCAUAGUUUGAGGAGUUCAUGUAUUCACUAUGUGCUAAUGCUUUGUUCCGGUUCUCUAUUAAAAGGAGGCCUUAAUAUCCCUUAGUUUCCAAUAGGACCUCGCUGCCACGGGAGGGUAGGACAAAAGAUGUCAUGCAAGUUCUUUUCCAUAAGCACGUAUGACUAUAUAAAGAAUACAUGCCUACAUUACAUUGAUGAAUUGGAGCUAGUUCUGUGUCACCCUAUGUUAUGACUGUUACAUGAUGAACCGCAUCCAGCAUAAUUAUCCAUCACUGAUCCGGUGCCUACGAGUUUUCCAUAUACUGGUUUACGCUUAUUUACUUUUCCGUUGCUACCGUUACAAUCACUACAAAAUACCAAAAACAUUACUUUUGUUGUCUUUACUUUUGUUGCCGCUACCACCACUAUCAUAUUACUUUGCUACUAAACACUUUGCUGUAGAUACUAAGUUUCCAGGUGUGGUUGAAUUGACAACUCAGCUGCUAAUACUUGAGAAUAUUCUUUGGCUCCCCUUGUGUCGAAUCAAUAAAUUUGGGUUGAAUACUCUACCCUCGAAAGCUGUUGCGAUCCCCUAUACUUGUGGGUUAUCAAGACAAAUUUCUGGCGCCGUUGCCGGGGAGCAUAGCUCUAUUCUUUGAGUCACGUGGGAUUUAUAUCUGCUUAUCACUAUGAAGAACUUGAGAGAUCCAAAAACCAAGAUCUAUCCCUCAACUACGAGGGGAGGUAAGGAACUGCCAUCUAGCUCUGCACUUGAUUCACCUUCUGUUAUGAGUAAGUUUGCGACACCUACACCUGCUUCUGCUAUUCGUUCUGAUAUGUCACAUGUUAUUGAUGAUGCCACUUCUUCUAUGCAUGAUACUUAUGAUGAAACUGCUUCUAUGCCUGAUACUAUUGUUCCCCUUAGUGAAUUUCUUGAUAAACAAAUUGCUAGGGCUAGAGAAAAAGAAAUUAUUGAAUCUGAAUACAAUGAUGAGAGUGAUGAUGAAAAUAUGCAUGUUAUUCCUGAGGGUUAUCUUUUUGAUAUGGAAUCUUCUGCUGCUAUUUCUGCUUUCAAAGAUAGAUAUGAGCUUAAGAGGUUAUUAAUUAAAUGGAACAAAGAAUCACUUAGAGAUAGAAUGAGACCUGACCCUGCUUUUGCUACUUCACCUAUUUGUGUUCCUGAUAAAGACUAUGAAUUCUCUGUUGAUCCUGAUAUAAUUACUUUGGUUGAAUCUGAUCCGUUUUAUGGCUAUGAAUCUGAAACUGUUGUGGCACAUCUUACUAAGUUAAAUGAUAUAGCUGCCCUGUUCACUAAUGAUGAGAGAUCGCAUUACUUUUAUAUACUCAAAAUAUUUUCAUUCUCAUUAAAGGGUGAUGCUAAGAUAUGGUUUAAUUCUCUUGAUCCUGGUUGUGUGCGUAGUCCCCAGGAUAUGAUUUAUUACUUCUCUGCUAAAUAUUUCCCUGCUCAUAAGAAACAAGCUGCUUUGAGGGAAAUAUACAAUUUUGUGGAAAUUAAAGAAGAGAGUCUCCCACAAGCUUGGGAGAGGCUUCUCAAGCUACUUAAUGCUUUGCUUGAUCAUCCUCUUAAGAAACCUGAAAUGCUUGAUAUCUUUUAUAAUGGACUAACCGAUGCUUCUAGAGAUUACCUGGAUAGUUGUGCUGGUUCUCUUCUCAGGGAAAGAACAUCGGAUGAAGCUGAAAUUCUAUUGAAUAAUAUGUUGACAAAUGAAAAUAAUUGGGCACCUCCUGAGCCAGCUCCUGCUCCAAUUACUGAGCCUAUCCCUAAACCAACUCUGAAGAAGAGAGGUAUUUUAUUUCUCAGUCCCGAAGAUAUGCAAGAGGCAAAGAAAUCUAUGAAAGAAAAAUGUAUUAAAGCUGAAGACGUUAAGAAUUUACCUCCUAUUGAAGAAAUACAUGGUCUUAAUUCACCGCCUGUUGAAGAAACAUAUGAUCUCAAUUAUUUAUUCACUGAAGAACCUCCUGAUCCCGAUAUCCCGACACAGGUAGUAAAGAUAAAUUCUCUCUAUAGAUAUGAUAAAGCUGAAGUCCCUCCUACUAAAAUUGCUAGUCAAUGCUUGGAUGAGUUUGAUAACUUUACGUAUAAGCAAGAUGACUUCAAUGCUUAUUUUGGUAGACAAUUAAAAGAAAAUGCUUAUAUGAUUAGACGUUUGGGUGAUUAUAUGGCUGAUAUUAAAGGUGAACUUAAACUUGUUAGCAAACAUGCUUCUAUGGUUACCACCCAAGUAGAACAAGUACUUAAGGCUCAAAAAGAAGUGCUUAAUGAAUUGAAUAGUAAGAAAAAUGAUUAUGCUGUUAAAGUGGCUACUAGAACUGGAAGAAUGACUCAGGAACCUUUGUAUCCUGAAGGCCACCCUAAGAGAAUCGAGCAAGAUUCUCAAAGAAAUAAUAUUGACGUUCCUAGUUCUUUUAAAAAGAAGAAGAAGAAAAAUGAUAGAACUGUGCAAACUUCUAGUGAACCUAUUGCUGAACCACCUGAUAAUCCAAAUGAUAUAUCUAUGUCUGAUGCUGAAACACAAUCUGGUAAUGAACAUGAACCUAGUAAAAAUAUUAAUGAUGAUGUUCCUGAUGAUGCUCAACCUAGUAAUGACGAUGAUGUAGAAAUUGAAUCUGCUGUUGAUCUUGAUAACCCACAAUCAAAGAAUCAACAUUAUGAUAAAAGAGACUUUGUUGCUAGGAAACAUGGUAAAGAAAGGGAACCUUGGGUUCAGAAACCCAUGCCUUUUCCUCCAAAACCAUCCAAGAAAAAGGAUGAUGAGGAUUUUGAGCGCUUUGCUGAAAUGAUUAGGCCUAUCUUUUUACAUAUGAGAUUAACUGAUGUGCUCAAAACAAAUCCUUAUGCUAAAUAUAUGAAAGAUAUCAUUACUAAUAAAAGAAAGAUACUGAAAGUUGAAAUUUCCACCAUGCUUGCUAAUUAUACUUUUAAGGGUGGAAUACCAAAGAAACUUGGAGACCCCGGAGUACCUACUAUACCUUGCUCCAUUAAAAGAAACUAUGUUAAAACUGCUUUAUGUGAUCUUGGAGCCGGUGUUAGUGUUAUGCCUCUCUCUUUAUAUCGUAGACUUGACUUGAAUAAGCUGACACCUACUGAAAUAUCUUUGCAAAUGGCUGAUAAAUCAACUGCUAUACCUGUCGGUAUUUGUGAGGAUGUGCCCGUGUGGUUGCAAACGUUACUAUUUUAACAGAAUUUGUUAUUCUUGAUAUUCCCGAGGAUGAUAGUAUGUCUAUUAUUCUUGGAAGACCUUUUCUUAAUACUGCAGGGGUUGUUAUUGAUUGCAACAAAGGCAAUGCCACUUUUCAUGUUAAUGGUAAUGAGCAUACGGUACACUUUCCAGGGAAAAAACCUCAAGUUCAUAGUAUCAAUUCUAUUGGAAAAAUUCCAUCGAUUAUAAUUGAGGUUUUGAAUUUCCUCUUCCUACUGUCAAAAAGAAAUAUGAUAUUCUUAUUAUUGGGGAUGUGUAUAUCCCCGUUGAGGUAACUUAGUGUUAUUCGAAAUUUCUCCGGUUUCAUGAUUAUCGGAAUGAGUUUGUUAACAAGACUUGAUCAACCUUGUUAGUGGAUUCUUUUUGAUGAGCAUGAGAUGGAUGAAACUAGAAGCACAACCUUCUGUACCCUCUCUAUACUUUCUGUUAUUUAUAUUAAAUAAAGUAAAAAUAGUAUUUUUCUAUCUGUUUCCUCACUUAUCCGUGCAAUAUAAAAAUAUCCCGAAAAUAAAAGUCCUCAGAAUGCCAUGCCAAUUUAAUAUGAUUUUUUCGGGAAUAUUUGAGGAUUUACUGUGCAAAAAUUACCGCGGGAGGAGCUGCCACCUGGCCACGAGGGUGGUAGGCGCGCCCCCCCUAUAGGGCGCGCCCCCUGCCUCAUGGGCCCAUGGUGGCCCUCCUCCACUUAUCCCAGCACCCAUCUUCUUCCUCUGUCUCACACAAACUCGAAAAACCAACUCAAGCACGAGGUCCAGCCACUUUUGCUAUGAUUUUCGAUCUCCUUGCUCAAAGCACCUCUCGCAAAACUGCUUGGGGAGAUUGUUCCUUGGUAUGUGACCCCUCCAUUAGUCCAAUUAGUUUUUGUUCUAGUGCUUUAUUCUUUGCAAAUUUGUGCUACAAAGGUGACCAUGUUCUUGAGCUUGCAUGUCAAAUUUAUAUGGUUCCAAGUAGUUCUAAUGCUUGAUAUAGGCUCUAGGCACUUGUAGGAGUAGUUACUAUCAGUUUUAUUGAGUUUGGUUUACUUUUAUUUUUGAAGUUACUAAAAAUUUCAGAUUGUUUCAGAAAAAUGAUGAGGAGAUUAUUGAGGGGCUCAUCAAGCCAAAGCUCAAAGGAAAAGGCACCUAAGCCUAAGUAUAAUUUGCCACGCACCACGGAGAUUCGGGCGUGUGAAUGGCCUUGUGAAGAUUUCUUGAGAGCAGCCGGUAUCUAUGAAGAUUUUCAUGAAUUGGCUCACAAUGCAGGCCUCACCGCUUUCCUCCACGACCAAUGCAAUCAGUAUCUCUUACUCACAAAUACCUUUGUGCAAAAAUUUUAUUUUCAUCCUAGGAACUCACCACCUACGGUGGAAUUUCAUUUAUAUGAUGAGCCUAAGGAGAUGUCACUUUUUGAUUUCUGUCGGAUUUGUUUAGUCCCUUUUGAGGGCAAGACAGAAGAACCACAUCAUGAUGAUGUGGCUAGGUUUAUUGAUAAUAUCACGGUAGGAGAAACCAGGAAGGUUUCCGAUGCACGAAUCACUAGCAUACAUUUUCCUAUUUUGCGUUACUUUGCAUUAUUUGCUAGUCGUUGUUUAAUUGGACGCAGAAAUUCUGGAAACCUUAGUAUCCCUGAUUUAAUUAUUCUGCUCCAAGGUUUAUAUAGUGAUAACACUUUUAGUUUGGGCGGUAUUAUUGCUAGAUGGUUAAAUAUGAACCGUACUAAGGGCCCCAUCUUUGGAGGCAUUUAUGCCACACGCCUAGCAGCACAUUUUAACAUACCUAUUAGGCAUGCCGAGAAGGAAGAAAAAGUGCUACCCCGUGUUUAUCUAGAUCAUAAAAGUAUGGUGGCACAUGAUUUUAUUGUUAAAAAUAGGGCAGGGGAGCUUAGAUAUCAAUUGUAAUUUAAUAAACAUCAUCCUGAGACUAUUACCUUGCCUGCUCCUUCUUUGUUUGAUUUGACUGCAGGCACAUACCUUGUUCCGUUGGCAGCUAUUCACGCCUAGCGGAACCCUGCACCAGCUGAGGAGCCAGAGCCGGAAUCACAAUUUGAUCCUUCACGACAGUCUAACUAUUAGUGGGAUCCGGAGAUGAUUGCCAGCCAGUGGAAAUCGGAGCCUUCUUCUUCUUCAUCACAGUACGACCCCAACAACUAUUAUUAUGGAUAUCCGCCAGGCCAGCUGUGGCCAUAGACCAACUUAGGCCAAAAGCCUAAGCUUGUGGGAGUACGUAUUUCUCACCGACAUUACAUUUAUGUUCACACACACUCAUUGCUAGAUGUCGGUGCUCAUACUUUUUCAUUGUAUCAUCCAUACUAGUUUAUUUUCUUUUUCCUGUUUUCUUCUCGUGUGUUUAGUAAACCUUAAGAAAAACCAAAAAAAUAAAAAAAUUAGUAGUUUAUUUUUCUGCUGUAGUAGUAAUAACUAAAAAGAAAACCCAAAAAUAUUUCCCGUUCUUCUUUUGCUUGUUGGGAGCUCUCCCAUGUAAAUAGUUUUAUUUCUUUUCUUUUAUUUGGGGGUCAGUAGGAGAAGACCAUAAUUAAAUUGUUGAAGUGGCUCUUUUAUGCAUUAUUGUUGAUUUAACCAAGAGGCCAUAUUGCUUUGUCUUCUCCUGUUUAUUGAAUGCUCGCAGAUUCCAGCUUAGUCCAAUGCACGUGCACUCUUAUUAUUAUUCAUACCGUUUGGUCAUGCAAGUGAAAGGCAAUUAUGAUGAUAUAUGAUGGACUGACUGAGAUGAGAAAAGCUGGUAUGAACUCGACCUCUUUUGUUUUUGUAAAUAUGAUGAGUCCUGCGUUCUUGAUUCGACUUAUUAUGAAUAAACAUGUUUGCAAUGACAAUUAGAGAUCAUAGUUGCUUGUGCCAUGCUUGAUUAGCUCUGAGUUAUAAUGAUUUACCUUGUAUGCCAACAUGCUAUUGAGAUGAUUAUGAUGUGGUAUGAUGGGGUGGUAUCCUCCUUUGAAUGAUUUAAGUGACUUGACUUGGCACAUGUUCACGCAUGUAGUUGAAACAAAAUCAACAUAGCCUUCACGAUAUUUAUGUUCAUGGUGGAUUAUAUCCUACUCAUGCUUGCAUCCAAUGUUUAUUAAUUUUAAUGCAUGUACAUGGCUGUUGUCGCUCUCUAGUUGGCCGCUUCCCAGUCUUUUGCUAGCCUUCACUUGUACUAAGCGGGAAUACUGCUUGUGCAUCCAAAACCCUUAAACCCCAAAGUUAUUCCAGAUGAGUCCACUAUACCUUCCUAUAUGCGGUAUCUACAUGCCGUUCCAAGUAAAUUUGUAUGUGCCAAACUCUAAACCUUCAAAUAAACAUUCUGUUUUGUAUGCUCGAAUAGCUCAUGUAUCAACAAAGGCUGUCCUUAUCUUCCGUGUUAGGCGGGUUAUUCUCAAGAGGAGUGGACUCCGCACCUCACUCACGAGAAAAUGGCUGGUCACUGGGAUGCCCAGUCCCAUGCUUUAUGCAAACUAAAUCAAAAUUAAUUGCAAAAAAAACUCCCCCUGGGACCUGAUGUAUGUUGGAGGCACUCGUUGUUUCGAGCAAGCCAUGGAUUGAUGCUUGUUGGUGGAGGGGGAGUAUAAACUUUACCAUUCUCUUAGUUGUUACGUUGACAAUGAAAGUAUACCGCUCAAAAUACAAUUUAUCUCUAUUUCAAAACCGAGCUCUGGCACCUCUACAAAUCCCUGCUUCCCUCUGCGAAGGGCCUAUCCAUUUACUUUUAUGCUGAGUCAUCACCCUCUUAUUAAAAAGCACUAGCUGGAGAGCACAUCCGUCAUUUGCAUUCAUCACUAUUAAUCUAUGUUGGGUAUGACUAUGAUUGGAUCUCUUUUACCAUGAAUUACAAUGUCUAGUCAGUCCUUGAUCUUUAAAGGUGCUCUGCAUUUAUGUUUUGCAGUCUCAGAAAGGGCUAGCGAGAUACCAUCUUGUUAUAUCAUAUUAUGAUUGUUUUGAGAAAGUGUUGUCAUCGAGAUUUAUUAUUGUGACUUGCUAGUUGAUUAUGCUAUUGAUAUGAGUAAUUGUGAGACCUGAGAAUUAUUGAAAAUGUGGUUAGUUAUGAUCUAUGAUGAAAACUUGAAUGCUGGCUUGACAUAGUUACAACAACAAGAGCAAACAAAGUUUGUAAAAGUUUUUCUUUCUUUCUUUCAGUUUGUCAACUGAAUUGCAUGAGGACAAGCAAGGGUUUAAGCUUGGGGGAGUUGAUACAUCUCCAUCGUAUCUACUUUUCCAAACACUUUUGCCCUUAUUUGGACUCUAACUUGUAUGAUUUAAAUGGAACUAACCCGGACUGAUGCUAUUUUCUGCAGAAGUACCAUGAUGUUGUUUUAUGUGCAGAAAACAAAUAUUCUCGGAAUGACCUGAAACUCCACGGGAGGUCUUAGAAAAAAUAAUAAAAAAUCCUCGCCAAAUAUGAAGACCAGGGGGCCCACACCCUUCUCACGAGGGUGGGGGGCGCGCCCCCCUAGGGCGCGCCCCUACCUCGUGGGCCCCCUGUCGACCCUCCGACACCAACUCCAACUCUAUAUAUUUGCUUUUGGAGAGAAAAAAAACAGAGAGAAGAAAUCAUCGCGUUUUACAAUACGGAGCCACCGCCAAGCCCUAAAACCUCUCGGGAGGGGUGAUCUGGAGUCCGUUCGGGGCUCCGGAGAGGGGGAUUCGUCGCCGCCGACAUCAUCAACCAUUCUCCAUCACCAAUUUCAUGAUGCUCACCGCUGUGCGUGAGUAAUUCCAUCGUAGGCUUGCUAGACGGUGAUGGGUUGGAUGAGAUUUAUCAUGUAAUCGAGUUAGUUUUGUUAGGGUUUGAUCCCUAGUAUCCAUUAUGUUCUGAGAUUGAUGUUGCUAUGACUUUGCUAUGCUUAAUGCUUGUCACUAGGGCCCGAGUGCCAUGAUUUCAUAUCUGAACCAAUUAUGUUUUCAUCAAUAUAUGAGUGUUCUUGAUCCUAUCUUGCAAGUCUAUAGUCACCUACUAUGUGUUAUAAUCUGGCAACCCCGAAGUGACAAUAAUCGGGACCACUCCCGGUGAUGACCAUAGUUUGAGGAGUUCAUGUAUUCACUAUGUGCUAAUGCUUUGUUCCGGUUCUCUAUUAAAAGGAGGCCUUAAUAUCCCUUUGUUUCCAAUAGGACCCCGCUGCCACGGGAGGGUAGGACAAAAGAUGUCAUGCAAGUUCGUUUCCAUAAGCACGUAUGACUAUAUACGGAAUACAUGCCUACAUUACAUUAAUGAAUUGGAGCUAGUUCUGUGUCACCCUAUGUUAUGACUGUUACAUGAUGAACCGCAUCCAACAUAAUUAUCCAUCACUUAUCCGGUGCCUACGAGUUUUCCAUAUAAUGAUUUACACUUAUUUACUUUUCCGUUGCUACUGUUACAAUCACUACAAAAUACCAAAAACCUUACUUUUGCUGUCUUUACUUUUGUUGCCGCUACCACCACUAUCAUAUUACUUUGCUACUAAACACUUUGCUACAGAUACUAAGUUUCCAAGUGUGGUUGAAUUGACAACUCAGCUUCUAACACUUGAGAAUAUUCUUUGGCUCCCCUUGUGUCGAAUCAAUAAAUUUGGGUUGAAUACUCUACCCUCGAAAGCUGUUGCGAUCCCCUAUACAUGUGGGUUAUCACGUGCCACCUCCUCCCCUCCUUCCCGAGCCCUCCCAGCGGCUAUAAAUAGAGCCACGAGCUCUCUCACAGUCCACCAUCCCUCCCCAAGCAUCUCCCCGAGCCCGAAGCCCCUCUCUGGCCCCCUCCCCAUAGCCAUGGCUGCCGCCCCGACCUUCUUUGAUUCCGGCGAUGCCGCUCCCCUCUCGCCGUUCCACCUCCACCAUUGCCCUCCCUAGGGUCCGGUGAGCCUCCCCGUUGCCUUGCCCACCCAUUCCCCCACUAGAGCUCCCUGUUCGCCGGAGGCCGAAGCCCUGCUCCGCCGCCCACUUUGCUGCUCCUUCCCUGGUGCCCCUCGACGGCAGCUGACAACACCACGGGAUGCGCCUCUCGCUCCUCAACCCGUGGGUAGGUCGGCCGUCGCGAGCGGUGGCCGGACGCGCCGGCUAUCGCCGUCGAGGCGAGCCCCUCCCUCUGCCCGGCGCGCGCGUGAGCGGGAGGUUGAAGACGCCAGGGCCAGGCGGGCCCCUCCUCACGUGGCCCCACCGGUCGGCGAGAGAAGGGCGUGGCCCAGUCUGCCACGUUGGAUAAGUGGCGGCGCCCCGCCACGAAGUCGCUUUCCCCGCGCGAAAGCGCCUUUCGCGAAAGUACGCUUUCAACCUUAGAAAGUGUAUUCUUCCUCUGCUUCGGCCGAGAAUACAUUUCCCUUUCUGUAAAACGUAUUUUUAGAGAAGACACGUUCUGUUUAAACUACCAGGGACCUGUUUGUAGAAGUAUUUUUACAAACUAGUCCCCGAGCUUUAAAUGUCCGUAUCUUUUUACCCGUAACUCCGAAUCAGGUGAAUCCAAAGCCCACGUCUUCGUUUCGUCGAACUCUUUCCGUUGGUAUCAUUUUCAUUAUGUUUUCACACAGUGAAAAUGACCAUUUUGCCCUUGACCGUAAACAGCCUCCUCCGAGAGAGAACUGUUUCCGGCAAAUCUUUCCGCGAUCGUUUCCCACUUCUUCCCGGAGUAUUUGUCGACCCCCCAGGCAAGCCAACCUCUUAUCAUGAGCCCCGAACUUGCAUGUUGACUUUUCUUGCACCUUGUGCGUGUGUAGUUGAAGUUGUUUCAUACCGUUUUCAUCUGCAAUUAUUCCAUUAUGCUGUCUUGCAUGCUUGUGUUUUCAUGAUAUCUUUUGCCAUGCUAAUUAGAAUGUUAUUAUUAAUAAUGCCAUUUUACUACUCUACUUUACUUACAUGUCAUCAUUAUAAAAUGAUAUGAGGAUUGUAAUGCACCAUUGAUAUGCUAUUGUCAUGUUCUUUAUGUUAUAGUUGUGCACUUGAGGAGUUCGAUAUUUUGCCAUGCAUUUGUAUGCUGCAUGCUCAUU